GCCGGGCGCGGUGGCGGGCGCCUGUAGUCCCAGCUACUCGGAGGCUGAGGCAGGAGAAUGGCUUGAACCCGGGAGGCGGAGCUUGCAGUGAGCCGAGAUCGCGCCACUGCACUCCAGCCUGGGUGACACAGCGAGACUCCGUCUCAA
Molecule: unclassified non-coding RNA, 147 nt
Organism: Papio anubis (olive baboon)
Lineage: Eukaryota; Metazoa; Chordata; Mammalia; Primates; Cercopithecidae
Rfam family: Metazoan signal recognition particle RNA
About the family: The signal recognition particle (SRP) is a universally conserved ribonucleoprotein.
Source: Ensembl